ACCCCAACCACCAAAAGUACUACUAUGAUUCGGAAUGAAGCAGAGCUAAGAUCAUUCAUCAAUCACAUGGUUGAGAAUGUCCAAAAAGGUUUGAAGACAAACUCCAUAUUCACAAAGGUUGGCUGGGACAACAUUACAAAAGGGCUUGAAGCCGAAUUCAAACGGCCCUUUGCUAACGAGCAACUCUGUAACAAGAUGAAUAAGUUACGUAAGGAGUACAAUAACUUAAAGUCUUUGUUAGAAACAACUGAUUCUAGAUGGGAUGCGAAUGAUUAGACUGCCACAGCUGAGGAUUCAGUGUGGGAAUCUGCUAUUCAGGGAAACAAAGAUUAUGCAAAGUAUUGAAGAAAUGGUCUCCCCUAGUGGCCAGAGUUGUUAGAGAUCUUCUCUAACUAUAGUGCCCAUGGGGAUAGAGGUCUGUCACAGGCAACUGCUGUAACUCCUACAUCCACUGACCCUAAAAUUGAUGAUGAUUUACAGGACACUAAUAAUGAUGAUAGUGAUGCUAGUACUGGGACACCCAAGGGGUUAGCUCCUCUGAAGCGGCGACUUUAUAGGAUUCCUAUGGAUCGUAGGAGGAAGAGCCAGACAUGGACCCUCACGAACUCCGCUGAGGACUUUAGAACCUUUGUUCGAUGGAGGAUGGAAAAUGGAUCCACCUCUGCCACCUCAAUGGUUGUCCGACCUUUUGACCCUAUUGUUGAUGGACCAUAUAGCAUGAUGAGUUGUCAGAAGCUACUGGACAGUUUAGAGGAUAUCCCGACGUAUUUGUAUGUGUUGGCACAACGUAAGAUACACAGUGACCCUCGAUGGUGCAUGUCUUUUGUUGAAGUGAGACCUGACAGGAGGUUAUGGAUGUUAUAUGGUCUGAAGGAGUGAAAGUAACAGUUUCUUAAAUAAUUGGUUUUAAGGGAGACUGAAUGAAUUGUUAGUUUGUUUGAAUUUUAUAUGCCUCGUACUGACUGACACACUUAUUAUGUUUCACCUACUAUGAAUGAUGUUGAUGUUUAACUUAUGCAGCUUUGUUAUAA
Molecule: long non-coding RNA, 1031 nt
Organism: Macadamia integrifolia
Lineage: Eukaryota; Viridiplantae; Streptophyta; Magnoliopsida; Proteales; Proteaceae
Exons: 2
Source: RefSeq, a predicted model, not a curated record